RNAcentral lists this ribosomal RNA (255 nucleotides) under Acinetobacter baumannii. Its description in RNAcentral is "partial 23S ribosomal RNA". It matches the Rfam family "Bacterial large subunit ribosomal RNA", at positions 541 to 799 of the family's 2925-position model. Lineage: Bacteria; Pseudomonadati; Pseudomonadota; Gammaproteobacteria; Moraxellales; Moraxellaceae. The record is from RNAcentral.
AAAUAGAUCCUGAAACCGCAUGCAUACAAGCAGUGGGAGCACCUUCGUGGUGUGACUGCGUACCUUUUGUAUAAUGGGUCAGCGACUUAUAUUCAGUAGCGAGGUUAACCGUAUAGGGGAGCCGUAGGGAAAUCGAGUCUUAAUAGGGCGUUUAGUUGCUGGGUAUAGACCCGAAACCAGGCGAUCUAUCCAUGAGCAGGUUGAAGGUUGGGUAACACUAACUGGAGGACCGAACCCACUGUCGUUGAAAAGCCA